RNAcentral lists this ribosomal RNA (402 nucleotides) under bacterium. RNAcentral describes it as "partial 16S ribosomal RNA". It matches the Rfam family "Bacterial small subunit ribosomal RNA", at positions 355 to 776 of the family's 1533-position model. The record is from RNAcentral.
UGGGGAAUUUUGCACAAUGGGGGAAACCCUGAUGCAGCGACGCCGCGUGAUUUAGAAGGCCUUCGGGUUGUAAAAAUCUUUUCUAUGGGAAGAAAAUGACAGUACCAUAGGAAUAAGGACCGGCUAAUUACGUGCCAGCAGCCGCGGUAAUACGUAAGGUCCGAGCGUUGUCCGGAAUCAUUGGGCGUAAAGGGUACGUAGGCGGGUAAGCAAGUUAGAAGUGAAAUCCUAUAGCUCAACUAUAGUAAGCUUUUAAAACUGCGCAACUUGAGGUAUGGAAGGGAAAGUGGAAUUCCUAGUGUAGCGGUGAAAUGCGCAGAUAUUAGGAGGAAUACCGGUGGCGAAGGCGACUUUCUGGCCAUAACCUGACGCUGAGGUACGAAAGCGUGGGUAGCAAACAGG